RNAcentral lists this ribosomal RNA (779 nucleotides) under uncultured Neocallimastigales. RNAcentral's name for it is "partial large subunit ribosomal RNA". It matches the Rfam family "Eukaryotic large subunit ribosomal RNA", at positions 26 to 616 of the family's 3401-position model. Lineage: Eukaryota; Fungi; Neocallimastigomycota; Neocallimastigomycetes; Neocallimastigales. The record is from RNAcentral.
CGCAUCUGUGCAUGCAGCAUAUCAAUAAGCGGAGGAAAAGAAACUAACAAGGAUUCCCCUAGUAACGGCGAGUGAAGCGGGAAGAGCUCAAAUUUGAAAUCUUAAAGGAUUUCCCUUUACGAAUUGUAGUUUAAAGAAGUGUUUUCUGUUGAGGUUCUGGUAAAAGUUCUUUGGAAUAGGACAUCAUAGAGGGUGAGAAUCCCGUAUUUGACCUUUACUUUCAACUUUGUGAUACACUUUCAAAGAGUCGGAUUGUUUGGGAAUGCAGUCCAAAAUGGGUGGUAAAUUUCAUCUAAAGCUAAAUAUUGGCGAGAGACCGAUAGCGAACAAGUACCGUGAGGGAAAGAUGAAAAGAACUUUGAAAAGAGAGUUAAACAGUACGUGAAAUUGUCAAAAGGGAAGCGUUUGACACCAGUGUUGUUUUUCUGAAAAUCAAUUAAAGAACUGUUUAUGCUAAGUUGUUUAGACUUUAUCAGCUAACUGUUUAGUUUUGAGCUUUUCUUUAAUGCACUUUUCAGUUAACAAGUCAACAUCAAUUUCUUUUGCUGUAAAAAAGCUUGAGGAAGGUGGCUUGAGAUUCGUCUUAAGUGUUUAUAGCCUACUUGCCUAUGCAGUCGGGAGAGAUUGAGGUCUGCAGCGUAGAUCCUUCGGGGCUAAUAGCAUUUGUGCUAAGUUAUAGCAUUUUCAUAGACAACUUGUUGACUAUGAUUUAGUCUUGCUAGCUUACUCGCUUAUGCUAUUUUACCUACGCUUAGGAUGUUGAGCGCAUGUCUCUCUCU